RNAcentral lists this ribosomal RNA (764 nucleotides) under uncultured bacterium. RNAcentral's name for it is "bacterial SSU rRNA". It matches the Rfam family "Bacterial small subunit ribosomal RNA", at positions 577 to 1339 of the family's 1533-position model. The record is from RNAcentral.
GGUUUGUUAAGUCGGAUGUGAAAUCCCCGGGCUCAACCUGGGAAUUGCAUUCGAUACUGGCAAGCUAGAGUAUGGGAGAGGAAGGUAGAAUUCCAGGUGUAGCGGUGAAAUGCGUAGAGAUCUGGAGGAAUACCGAUGGCGAAGGCAGCCUUCUGGCCUAAUACUGACGCUGAGGUGCGAAAGCAUGGGGAGCAAACAGGAUUAGAUACCCUGGUAGUCCAUGCCGUAAACGAUGUCAACUAGCCGUUGGGGGAUUUGAUCCUUUAGUGGCGCAGCUAACGCGAUAAGUUGACCGCCUGGGGAGUACGGUCGCAAGACUAAAACUCAAAUGAAUUGACGGGGGCCCGCACAAGCGGUGGAGCAUGUGGUUUAAUUCGAUGCAACGCGAAGAACCUUACCUGGUCUUGACAUAGUGAGAAUCCUGCAGAGAUGCGGGAGUGCCUUUUAGGAAUUCACAUACAGGUGCUGCAUGGCUGUCGUCAGCUCGUGUCGUGAGAUGUUGGGUUAAGUCCCGCAACGAGCGCAACCCUUUUCCUUAUUUGCCAGCACUUUUAGGUGGGAACUCUAAGGAUACUGCCAGUGACAAACUGGAGGAAGGCGGGGACGACGUCAAGUCAUCAUGGCCCUUACGACCAGGGCUACACACGUGCUACAAUGGUCGGUACAAAGGGUUGCUACACAGCGAUGUGAUGCUAAUCUCAAAAAGCCGAUCGUAGUCCGGAUUGGAGUCUGCAAAUCGACUCCAUGAAGUCGGAAUCGCUAGU